This is a long non-coding RNA of Beta vulgaris subsp. vulgaris (sugar beet), 845 nucleotides long. RefSeq lists it as uncharacterized. Lineage: Eukaryota; Viridiplantae; Streptophyta; Magnoliopsida; Caryophyllales; Amaranthaceae. The record is from RefSeq and is a predicted model, not a curated record. The transcript has 2 exons.
UCGGGUCAACCCACAGGCCUUUAUAUUUGAUUCUCGCGCGGGCUUAUGGGCUAUAUUGAGCUCACAAAUAAUGAAACCUAGCUAUAGCAGCGCCAAAUUUUUAAUAAUUCUCUCAUUUUCUCUCAUCUUUAUCUCUCCUCACUCUAACCUCUCCCUCUUUCUCUCUCAUUCGUCUGGGUACCAUCACCUCACAUCUUCACCCCACCACCACAAAUCUUCGCAGCCCCACCACAAAUCUUGUAUCUCCUCUCACAAAUCUCGCGGCGCCCACCACACCACUCGCCACUCAUCGCACAUACCACCACCCCACUUGCCUCCUUUCUUAUCUGGCAGAACAUACCACAACAACACAACAACACAACAACAAUGCGACGACCCAAACAACAAAGCACGAACAACAGUAGAACAAACCACUCGUCGUGCACAUCGGAACGAAGCACCAGCGACACAGCAACGACGCCACCGGAACGACAACGAAGCACCAACGGGACAUCGACUGGCGGCGGCGCAAACAAGAACGAAGGAGGGAGAAUGCGAAGGUGUUUAAUUUUUCGUGAAUUUUCCAGGUGAAUGAUGAACCAACUGGAGGAGAUCAAACGUAGACGUCUUACUAUACAUACUAUUGGCCAGAUUUAGUUAGCUAUAUUAUAGUGAUGCGGUACUUGGUGGUUAGAAGGAAAAUGAUCUAUAUGUACUUAUUAGAAGUAUUUGUGGUACUAAAACAAAUAUUUAUUAGUUGAGUUUGAUUAAGUACAUUAAUUUUCGUUAAUUAGGAUUUGUCAUGUAUACUCUUAAUUUAAUUAGUUUUGGAAAUUAUAAUACGGAUAUGACAAUUAUUUUUGGCA